GAUGAACGCUGGCGGCGUGCCUAAUACAUGCAAGUCGAGCGAAAAGACGAGGAGCUUGCUCCUCUGACGUUAGCGGCGGACGGGUGAGUAACACGUGGAUAACCUACCUAUAAGACUGGGAUAACUUCGGGAAACAGGAGAUAAUACCAGAUCAUAUAUUGAACCGCAUGGUGCAAUAGAUAAAGACGGUUUUGCUGUCACUAAUAGAUGGAUCCGCGCCGCAUUAGCUAGUUGGUAAGGUAACGGCUUACCAAGGCAACGAUGCGUAGCCGACCUGAGAGGGUGAUCAGCCACACUGGAACUGAGACACGGUCCAGACUCCUACGGGAGGCAGCAGUAGGGAAUCUUGCGCAAUGGGCGAAAGCUUGACCGAGCAACGCCGCGUGAGUGAUGAAGGUCUUCGGAUCGUAAAACUCUGUUAUUAGGGAAGAACAGAUGUGUAAGUAACCAUGCACGUCUUGACGGUACCUAAUCAGAAAGCCACGGCUAACUACGUG
RNAcentral lists this ribosomal RNA (497 nucleotides) under uncultured bacterium. Its description in RNAcentral is "partial 16S ribosomal RNA". It matches the Rfam family "Bacterial small subunit ribosomal RNA", at positions 28 to 507 of the family's 1533-position model. The record is from RNAcentral.